Molecule: long non-coding RNA, 3975 nt
Filed under: Triticum aestivum (bread wheat)
Lineage: Eukaryota; Viridiplantae; Streptophyta; Magnoliopsida; Poales; Poaceae
Description: long non-coding RNA (TAES_LNC005725)
Source: RNAcentral
GCGUUGUCCAGUUGUCCGUAUGAAGGGAGAUUUCCCCUUCCACCGAGUUACUACUGAGCGUGUUCCUUGUUGUUUUUUCCUUUUCCUACCAAAUUGAUGCAGGUGCUAUUAGUGAAAGGAUUGGAGACUGGUUCUAGCGGUGGUUGGUUUGUUUGAGGAAUUCCUAGUGCUCGUGAUUUGUAAAGGGUUUCAGCCAGGUUAGUGUAUAUUUCAUUUUGUUAUCUUAAUAUGCAAGUAUAUGUGCCUAUUUCAUUUGCUUGUAUCCAUCCUUUUUAGUACAUGGAUCGGUCUUUAUUUAUUCAGGUUCAGACAUUGCGCAACUGAAGACUGCGUAUACUAGUCGAAGGCACGAGUGAUGCACGUGUUCUUCACUCACUCAUCCAUUUAUUUGAGCAACAUUUAUUUUCAGAUGGGAGUAGUAUGUAUGCCAUUGAGUAUUAAAUCCCGUCCAAAGGAUUGGCAAGUUGCUGCUUCAAAACUUGGUAGAUACAAACGAUUAGUGCUCUAUACAAGCUACUCCCUCUGUUCCGAAAUAUAAGUCUUUAUAGAGAUUUCAUUAUGAAUCAUAUACAGAGCAAAAUGAGUGAAUCUACACUCUAAAAUGCAUCUAUAUACAUCCGUAUAUAGUUUAUAGUGGAAUGUCUACAAAGACUUAUAUUUAGGAACGGAUGGAGUAGUUUUUACGGAGUAGAAGGAAGGUUACUCUAGUCAUCGUUGUUUCCCGAUCAUAGCUACAAAAGAUCUUGAAUAGCAUAGUUUCACCAGUGGGCCCAUUUGGAGCUAUCAGGAUUCCAGAAAGGUCCUGGAGUCGUUUUGGCGCCUGCCCGUACAUAGUGAAUCUAAGAAAUGUCAACCAUUAGAUCUCUUGGGCAAGGUACUGAUGAAUGGUGGAUAUUCAUUUUAUGGAACAAAUCAAUGACUUGUAUUUGCUCUCGAGUCUGUGCGGACUGCUAAUCCAAAUUCAAAUUUUUUUUUACUAUAGUAGUAGGGAAAUGUAGCGCUCUAUAAAGUUUUUGGUGCCUCCAUCUGAAAGAGAUAAAUUUAUAGACAUGAGUGUGGAUUUGAUAUUAAAAAUUUCUCUACAAAAGUACCUACUUUCCUGCCAUGAUUUACCAUCUAGCUAAUUGUUUCAUAGGAGUUCAAUACUGAGGUAACAUUUUUCUCUCUCAAACUUGUGCUUGAAUGUACCAAUGAAGAUGCUCUUCACAACUCUAAUUCUUGGUGCCAAUGGCUAUUCUUCCAUUUACUAUGAUUAAUUGCUCUUUGUGCUAAUUCUUGAUGUUAAAAGACAACGAACUUUGACUAAUGAACAUGUAGUUGGAAUGAACAAGUACCCUUGUUUAUCUCCGUUGAUCGAUUGAUGUGAGAUCAUUUAGUUCACUCGUCAUCAUGCACAUAUACUUCAGAUAGAGAAUCUCUUUCUGUCUCUUCUCUGUUUGCUACAAAUAUAGACUGAAAGUGGAGUACUGCUUCUAGAGUUUAAAGAUUUGAGCUUGCAAAAGUGUUAGUUCUCUGAUAUGAGGUUUAUUAUUUAUGUUCUGUGAAAGUUGUUGUCUGAAUGUGAUAUACCCAUAUAUUAUAUAAAGAACAAGUUCACAUAGGUACCAAAAAUUACGCUUAAACUUUCAUGCCAUCUAAUAGAUAAUAGUUUCUGUAUACUUUUCAACUUCGCAAGCAUUGCAGUAACUAUAUUGUCACAAGAAAUUAUAUAUUUUGAGAAGCUUCUACAAGAUCUUGAUAUCACUUGUGUUCUAUCGCUUGAUCCUGUGCUUGAAGGUGAUUCCCUAAAUUGCACAACUCCGAAAACUUGUACGUGAUUUGAUUUUCUUCUGGUGGUCACACUUACAUCCUUCAAGGAUCAUCCUUAUCAGUUAUUACAGUAAAUUUGUCGAUUUAGCGUUUUAAUUGCUAUUUUCACUAUUAGGAGUAUCUCCUGGAAAAAAAACUUCUACAGACCAACAUGACUAAUGUAUGUGUGUUGUGUUAGAUAUAUAUUUGGUUAUGAGUUACUACUUUUGUGGUCAUGGGGAAAUUAAUCAUUCCAUGAUCUCAACAUUGUAGUAUUUUGCGCAAAUUUGUGAAGUUCAACGUCUUAGUGUCAUGGCUCAGGACUAAAUUUUCUUGAGUUAUCACAUCAAAACAUGAAAUGUCAAAAUCAAACUACUUUUGCUUACUUGAUUCUUUUGAGCGUGCAUAUGAAACAAUGGUUAUCUAUGUUGCUUGCCUAUGCUAUCAGCUACUAUGAUCUAUCUUUCAUACUUAUAUACACAUUAUGCUUGGACAUGUGUUGUUUGUGCGAAAGGAAACAUCUACUCCCUCUGUUCCUAAAUAUAAGUCUUUUUAGUGGUUUCAAAUGGACUACCACAUACGGAUGUAUAUAGACAUAUUUUAGAGUGUAGAUUCACUCAUUUUGCUCCGUAUGUAGUCACUUGUUGAAAUCACUAGAAAGACCUAUAUUUAGGAACGGAGGGAGUAGUAUUUUGUAAUGCUUGAACUCAGGGUAGUCACUACUUAAAUAUUUCUCCAUGUAAUCGAGUAAGAACAGUUCUUCAGAACAUAUUAUCGUUUCCAUCUUCAGACAUCUUGAUAGGAAGCACAAGGGAAUGUUUGCAGUUUCAAUUUAUAUUGUACGUAAAGGAUUGUAGAUAUGCUCUCGUCCAGUGAAAACUUCUAAAUGAUCUAUGCACUAUGGCAGUGCCGCGGUGGAUACUUCUAAAUGACUGCACACAUGUUUUAUUAAGUCUUAUCAGUAUAGGGAGUUCAAUAAUCUUUUGGUGCUAAACAAGUGGAUGCUACAACUGAAUACUAAAUCAGUAAAACACUGUAGGAGUUUUACAAGAAAGCUUUGGGUAAAAAGAUUUUUGUGUUGUGCUGUUUAUUCCCAUUGGUCGAUCGAUGUGAGAUCAUCUAGUUCAACUAUCAUCAUGCACAUAUAUUGUUACAUGGAAGAAAAAUAACUAGCUAGAGAACUUAUUUAUGUCUCCUUUCAUUUUGCUGCUAAGACAGACUGAAAGUGGAGUACUCUUCUAGAGUUUAAUUGUUAUUACAUGCUGCUUUUAUAAGGUUGGGGUCUUCAAUCUAGUUUUUACUCAAUAAGUUACUGUUUCUUAAGAAUAACAUGAAGCAUGGAUUCUUAUAUGUUCCAUGUAUUAUGUCAGGGCAAGUAAUUAUCAGCUGAGCAAAGGCUACAACAUGUUAGGAGGAGAAGUUUGAAUUGAGGCAGAGAGUACACUUGGUAAGUCAUAUAUAUCCAACCUGAACUUAUUUACUCAUUUAUUAUUUUUGUUCUAGUCUGAGUCCAAAAAGAUGGUUUGACAAACGGGGGUGACAUUCUGUACACACGUGCGCAUCUACCAUUCAUGCUUGUGAAGCAUUUAAAAUAAAAUAAAAUUGAAUAUGGCCAAAUUUGGGUUCCAAGUUUUGCCAUGCUGUCAUGACUUCGUAUUAGUUUGCCCCCUUCAACAUGUAAAACUAUGAACCUGACCAUAUUUUAUUUGGAACAUUUAGAUGAUGUGUCAGAAGAAAAACAAAAGGCAACAACGAGAAAGAAAACAAACGGCAAUCUACUUACAUCUGACGUGUAAAUUCUAAUGUGCCAAAAAUUUCUCUUUUCAGGAAAUAGAAUGGAAAAAGGAAGAGGAGACAAUGCUGAAGCACAAGAGCGAGAGGCUAGCGGAAGUUAAAGCAAUAAACUAUAAGCAUUUUGAAUGAUUAGGGCCUCGCGUUGUUGGGAACAUUACAGCCAUGGGGAAAGCUAAUUUGUGUUGCUAGUUUAGCAUAGAAGCCACUAUAUGCUCAUUUUGGCCAUGUGUCGCAUCCAAAACAUAUGUAAUUUUCCUUUUGUUGCACAACACCCUUAUAUAUGGGCGUUUCUAGAAACCUAUGUAUUUGGUCGUUAAUUUUAUUGAAUGAAGGUAAGUUUUACUAUGAGGCCCAUAUGUGAAUUAUGAAAUUGUGUCAUUUCUUUUGAUUGCC